CCCUUUUUGUGGGAAACCUUCUCGGUCUUCUCCACCAGUCCGAUCUUGCUCUUUUUGUCGAUCACUCUGCAUCAUGUACGGAAAGUGAUCUCUUUGGCCGGUCGGACGAGCAGUACACUGCCGCUCAAGUUUAACAGAGUACACAGUGCGUUCAGAAUGCUGCAGUGCUUUGUUGCACUUGGGAAAAAUAUCUCAUGGAGAGACUCCUUGUUGCGCGCUGACACAAAUUCACGUUGGUGUGCUCUCUUGGCAAAUUGAUCGUCUUGACGUGCGUUUUCCGCUUGUUCCUCGAUCUUCAUGCGCAAUGCAAAUUCGAGCCAGCGCGCCGCGUGCACCGGUGUGCGCCAGCUGUCUGAGUGGACGGUCGUAGAGAGGAAGCUGGAACAACCCACUUAAUCGAAGGCAGGCAGAUCUUAACGGGAACCAAAGAACUGAGCCAUUGCUCGCCCCAAAGCUAAUCGGGCGGUAGAAAGAGCUGUGUCUCCGUAGGAUCUGUCUUUCUGAACUUCCGGCGACCCGAGCAACGUUCCUCGGUGUCCCCGUGUGGCCCCACAUGUGUAUGUAUCUUCUGGGGAAGAGGCAUUCCCUCAAGUGAAUGCGUUGCCGCUAGUCCAUGUGUAAGUGGCUAUGUAUGUCCGUUGAUAUUGGUGUACGUUUCAACAGAGUGCCGACAGUGCGAAGAGUUGCCCAUUUUCAUGCUGCCUCCUGCUGGGUCACUGCACGACGUCAAGCGCGGCCGUCGGCCCGUCGAUUGCGGACUACGUCUUGCCGGACUGGCGGUGAGCGAUUUUGUUCCAUUUUUACUGUUGGCCUCGCAAGCUACGUGUACAGACAGAAAGGCUGUGCCAACUCCUAGUGCGAACAGGGGCAAGUUCCACCAUGCGGAGUUGAAAUGCUCGCGUGUUGUGAACGGCAGCUCCCACUCCAGAGCACGAUGUACUCGGUCACCGCGGCGUGAAAGCCCAGAGGUCAAAGAGCACUUUCAUGCUUUGCCUCAUUUUGUGCAGUGUUGGUAGCGCAUCGUGCGGAGUGUUCACAGGAACACUGUCUUGCCUAAGUGCUUUACCAGGACGACUCUCCUCUCUGGAUGCUAGAGAAAAAACCAUAGUCUUCGGAUUGCAGCACAUCCAAGCACCGAGUUCGAAUAGCUCGUGUGUCAUGCGUCCUAGGACCGACCUAGCACUGCCACCGGUGGCGGCAUUCCGCGGUCAAUGACGUGGCGUUGUUUUGAGUUUUUUGCCUUCCGUUUUCUACGAGAACUCAGAAUAAGUCGACGACGCUUUCUGUGUAGAAGGAUUAUACCUGAUCAGAGCAAUGCGCUGCAUCGGGUUCGUCACAAGCUUUUCUCGGUUCACCCCCGAUUGCGGUCGUUGUGACGGACACUAAAUCGGCGGCAUCCAUGUCGGCUGGUUUAAAAGCACUCAAUCCGAAGCCCAAAUAACUCUCCAUAAAGCCACGGUUGUGGCGAUCCAUCGGGUGAAAUGUGUGGUCGCGGUUAUUCUCUUACCCUUGCAUGAAGCCGAUGUCCGCAUUAUUAAGGACAAACGUUUUAUUUAUGAACCCGUUUCCACGAAUCUGCAUCUGCACAACUGAUCUUGAAUCCCGUGCAUCGGACCAGUCAGACGAAAAGAAGUAUCGGGCACCGUUGUAAUUUGCUUGUGUGCCCACUUCAUCCGGGCUAUCCGCCGUGUCUGACGCGAUAUAAAGCUCUGGCGGUCAGAUGAAGAACUCCUACGUGGAUAAUGUAAUUUUUUGAGUCAGACGUGGAGACCGAAGUCCAAGACUUGAUAAGUCCACAUCCUUAUCUCUGUUCGGAGAGGUUCGCCGACGGAAACCACAUUGUCGGCGCUGGCACUUUCGUCGCGAUCAGCUACCG
This 1876-nucleotide long non-coding RNA is filed under the name Toxoplasma gondii VEG. Lineage: Eukaryota; Apicomplexa; Conoidasida; Eucoccidiorida; Sarcocystidae. The record is from RNAcentral.